GACGAACGCUGGCGGCGUGCCUAAUACAUGCAAGUCGAGCGAAGUUUUUCUGGUGCUUGCACCGGAAAAACUUAGCGGCGAACGGGUGAGUAACACGUAAAGAACCUGCCUCAUAGACUGGGACAACUAUUGGAAACGAUAGCUAAUACCGGAUAACAGCAUUAACUGCAUGGUUGAUGUUUAAAAGUUGGUUUUGCUAACACUAUGAGAUGGCUUUGCGGUGCAUUAGCUAGUUGGUGGGGUAAAGGCCUACCAAGGCGACGAUGCAUAGCCGACCUGAGAGGGUGAUCGGCCACACUGGGACUGAGACACGGCCCAGACUCCUACGGGAGGCAGCGGUAGGGAAUCUUCCGCAAUGGGCGAAAGCCUGACGGAGCAACGCCGCGUGAGUGAAGAAGGAUUUCGGUUCGUAAAGCUCUGUUGUUAGGGAAGAAUGAUUGUGUAGUAACUAUACACAGUAGAGACGGUACCUAACCAGAAAGCCACGGCUAACUACGUG
This 499-nucleotide ribosomal RNA is filed under the name uncultured bacterium. RNAcentral's name for it is "partial 16S ribosomal RNA". It matches the Rfam family "Bacterial small subunit ribosomal RNA", at positions 28 to 507 of the family's 1533-position model. The record is from RNAcentral.